Pseudophryne corroboree (corroboree frog) is the source of this 1145-nucleotide long non-coding RNA. RefSeq lists it as uncharacterized. The transcript has 5 exons. NCBI's taxonomy places the organism in Eukaryota, Metazoa, Chordata, Amphibia, Anura, Myobatrachidae. The record is from RefSeq and is a predicted model, not a curated record.
GGGAAAAGGGACUGCACAGUCUCUGUGAAAGAAAACCUGCUACUGGAUACAAGUUUUAUUUUGUUUAGAAUACUGCAGAAGAGCACCCCUAGAUUGACAGUGCACCCCUAGAUUGACAGAGCACACCUACAUUGACAGAGGACCCCUACAUUUACUGAGCACCCCUAGAUUUGCAGAGCACCCCUUUAUGGAUGAACAAAGAACCCCUGGAAGACAAAGCAGCACCCAUUGAUGGACAGCACAGCAGACCUGGAUGGACACAGCACAGACAUGUCUAUUCAAUACAAGAUCCACUGCUGGAGUAAAAUGUGGCCCAUCACUGGGGACCUUUAUAGAAUCCAAAUCGCACGAGUAUCUGAGGGUGAUGUUUUCCUUCGUUCCGAGGAUCCCGACUCAGAUUGCGAAUUUCCGGUGGGUUCAGUUUCUGGAGAUCUGGACCUGCUCAUCUCUAUUAAUAACCAGGCGUGUAGUGCCGGGUCUCCAUAGUAACGGCGCCGAGAGGCACAUGUCGCUGGAUUCAGACAUCAUUGGAGUCCGCUGGUGCCCGCGCUAGGUCGAGUUAAUGUUCCGGUGGCGGGAUUCUGAUAGUUCUGUCUUUAUAUAAGGUUUUUUUGCAGAUGCAUAUACAGUAGGUAAACAGAAGAACGGUACAUGAAGACAGUUGCAGGAAUAGUAUACUGUACAUUGUGCAGAACAUGUUGAGAGCAUGACGCAUACAAGGUAGUACAGAUGGACUCGUCAUUCCUCCAAAUUACAUCAUGGAGCCUAUCUUGCCUCGAGACUUGUCUACAGUGGGUGACACCUCUUUGUUCCUCUGGAUCUUACUGUACAAGUCCAAUCAAAUUCCUUUGGUUUAACAGAAGUACAAGGAUAUAUUCAGCAAGCAAGGAGCAACUUUAUUACUUCCUCACCGGGAGUGGGACUAUCCCAUCAACUUGAUCCCAAGAAAGACCCUCCAAGGGACGUGUAUAACCAUUAUGCCUACCAGAAACCCAAGCAAUGUCUGACUACAUCAAGGGGAACAUAGAGAAAUGGUUCAUCUGCCUCUCAUUGUCACCCGCUGGUGCUGGGUUCUUUUUUGUCAAGAAAAAGGACUGUGGGUAAAGUCCAUGUAUUAACAAAAAUAAAUGUCACCACUCCUUCCA